This 385-nucleotide ribosomal RNA is filed under the name uncultured bacterium. RNAcentral's name for it is "bacterial SSU rRNA". It matches the Rfam family "Bacterial small subunit ribosomal RNA", at positions 355 to 757 of the family's 1533-position model. The record is from RNAcentral.
UGGGGAAUAUUGGACAAUGGGCGCAAGCCUGAUCCAGCCAUGCCGCGUGAGUGACGAAGGCCUUAGGGUUGUAAAGCUCUUUUGGCGGGGACGAUAAUGACGGUACCCGCAGAAUAAGCCCCGGCUAACUUCGUGCCAGCAGCCGCGGUAAUACGAAGGGGGCUAGCGUUGUUCGGAAUCACUGGGCGUAAAGCGCACGUAGGCGGAUUAGUAAGUUAGGGGUGAAAUCCCGGGGCUCAACCUCGGAACUGCCUUUGAUACUGCUAGUCUAGAGUCCGAGAGAGGUGAGUGGAAUUCCUAGUGUAGAGGUGAAAUUCGUAGAUAUUAGGAAGAACACCAGUGGCGAAGGCGGCUCACUGGCUCGGUACUGACGCUGAGGUGCGAA